Molecule: ribosomal RNA, 439 nt
Filed under: uncultured bacterium
Lineage: Bacteria
Description: partial 16S ribosomal RNA
Rfam family: Bacterial small subunit ribosomal RNA
Source: RNAcentral
CCUACGUGCGGCAGCAGUGGGGGAUAUUGCACAAUGGGGGGAACCCUGAUGCAGCGACGCCGCGUGGGUGAAGAAGCGCCUCGGCGCGUAAAGCCCUGUCAGCAGGGAAGAAAAUGACGGUACCUGAAGAAGAAGCCCCGGCUAACUACGUGCCAGCAGCCGCGGUAAUACGUAGGGGGCAAGCGUUAUCCGGAUUUACUGGGUGUAAAGGGGGCGCAGACGGCGAUGCAAGCCAGGAGUGAAAGCCCGGGGCCCAACCCCGGCGAGCCGUUGAACCUGGCGGGCUGGAGUUGGAGAGAAGUACGCGGAAUGCGCGGUGUAGCGGUGAAAUGCUUAGAUAUCGCGCAGAACCCCGAUUGCGAAGGCAGCGUACCGGCUCCACACUGACGCUGAGGCACGAAAGCGUGGGUAUCGAACAGGAUUAGAUACCCGUGUAGUC